CAGAGCAGACCAGCCAGAGUUUUUCUGAAGCCUCCCACAGGGUGCUCCCCGGAGGAGGCCCGAGAUGCUCUCGUGACUUUGGAGCCGGGGUGGCUGGCCACCUUGGCCUGGGCAUCUUUGGGGUGGGCUUCGGGAGCCCGGCACUGCUGCAGAGUGUGGUGGAUGAGAACAGCUGCUGCUUGCUGUACGUGGUGGAGGACCAGCUGUGUGAUGUGGAGCAAGCCUUCAGAGCUGAGCAUUUGGGCCAACACCAGAGUGGUUCGGGAACAGGAUGCAGACAUUGUCCUCAACGACCAGCGGCACUUUGAUCCGGUUUUCCAGUUCUUGCACAAGCAAGUUUGUGUCAGCCACGCCCUGGGGAGGAUCCACUGGAUCACCGCCGUCACUGCCUGUUCCCGGCGGCCUCUCCGGCUUCCCUAAAGAGAGCAGGUGGGACUUUCUACAACGCUGCUGUGCACGACGUGGAUGCCGUAUGCAUGUUGCUGGGGGAAGCCACUCCGGACACUGUGUUUUCUCUGGGACAUGUCUUCUGCCCAGAUAUGGCCGCCUUAAAAGAUGCAGAUGCUGUUGUGAUCAGCAUGAAGUUUCCCUGUGAGGCCGUGGUUAGCGUGGACAUCAGCCAGCACUGCACAGACAGCUGCGACCAGGACGUCAGCCAGCACUGCACAGACAGCUGCGACCAGAGACUGGAGGGAAAUAACCUCCUGAAAUCACCAAAGAGCAGUUCCUCAGGGCCUUCCGGGUGACCGUGGCCGUGGAGCAGUCGUGGUGAAACCGGUCAGCUGUGGACCUGCCCUGCGAAUCGGCAGAGGCCUCCGUGGUGAAGACAGAAGCUCCGUGAACCAACUCGAGGCUGGAGCCAAGAUCCUGCCUGAUAUCCAGUUGCCUGUUUCACUUGUUACUGUUACUGGGAGAGGGAGACAAAACCUCAUGGCAAUCUUGUCCUCACUGGAGACUCAGAAGGGGAAGCAUUGGGAAACCAUGGCGUUUUAGAGUCCCCGUUUCUACGUUCUAUGUGGCACCCUCUUGCCGAGGGAACAUCCAGAAUCCCUCCACUUCCUGUCUAGUUUGAGGCCUCAACACCUUCAUGAUCCAGAGUCCUGCGGCUAUGAGGGGGUGGGCCCACCACCGCCCAGCCCUCCUUGGUGGACGUGGGGACAGCUGCUUCUCCAGUGCAAGGAGGCUGCAUGGGC
Molecule: long non-coding RNA, 1193 nt
Organism: Homo sapiens (human)
Lineage: Eukaryota; Metazoa; Chordata; Mammalia; Primates; Hominidae
Gene: GFOD3P
Product: Gfo/Idh/MocA-like oxidoreductase domain containing 3, pseudogene
Source: Ensembl